Molecule: ribosomal RNA, 349 nt
Filed under: Serratia marcescens
Lineage: Bacteria; Pseudomonadati; Pseudomonadota; Gammaproteobacteria; Enterobacterales; Yersiniaceae
Description: partial 23S ribosomal RNA
Rfam family: Bacterial large subunit ribosomal RNA
Source: RNAcentral
AAACCCGGUGAUCUAGCCAUGGGCAGGUUGAAGGUUGGGUAACACUAACUGGAGGACCGAACCGACUAAUGUUGAAAAAUUAGCGGAUGACUUGUGGCUGGGGGUGAAAGGCCAAUCAAACCGGGAGAUAGCUGGUUCUCCCCGAAAGCUAUUUAGGUAGCGCCUCGUGAACUCAUCUUCGGGGGUAGAGCACUGUUUCGGCUAGGGGGCCAUCCCGGCUUACCAAACCGAUGCAAACUCCGAAUACCGAAGAAUGUUAUCACGGGAGACACACGGCGGGUGCUAACGUCCGUCGUGAAGAGGGAAACAACCCAGACCGCCAGCUAAGGUCCCAAAGUCAUGGUUAAGU